RNAcentral lists this ribosomal RNA (562 nucleotides) under Porrhoclubiona minor. RNAcentral describes it as "partial large subunit ribosomal RNA". Lineage: Eukaryota; Metazoa; Arthropoda; Arachnida; Araneae; Clubionidae. The record is from RNAcentral.
AGAUCAGUCUGUCGUCAUCGGGCGCGCCGGUCGGAAAGCGGUAGGGCUUUCCCGAGCGGGAGCCGUCCGGCCGCGCGGUUCCCGCGGCGGCAGACGCAUUUGUCUCUCGUCCUGAGGACGCAGCAGCCGGUUGGGCAGCGAAAGCGUGACGGCCAGGAAGCGGAGCGACGGCAGGUGGCCGGUGGCGGGCGCAAGCCCUUCGCCGGUUGUUAGCCUGCUCCGCGGUGGCACGUCGCUCGACCGAGGUACCACGAGGCCCUUACGGGCCCCCGUCGCCUCCUCCUCGAGACGCCGAACUGGACGCGGCCGUCGAAUCCCGCCCGUGCGCCGCACACUCGGUGUGGACGCGUGGACGGGACGCUACGCAAGCUGCGGCGGAUCGGUCGGAGGCUGGUGGCUGGCUGCGAGUAGGUCGGUCACCCACCCGACCCGUCUUGAAACACGGACCAAGGAGUCUAACAUGUGCGCGAGUCAAUGGGUCUUGAUUAGGCCUAAAGGCGCAAUGAAAGCAAAGGGCCGCCGAGCGCGGUCCGAGUCGGGAUCCUCCUCUCUUGUAGGGGGG